This 2321-nucleotide long non-coding RNA is filed under the name Ananas comosus (pineapple). RNAcentral's name for it is "long non-coding RNA (ACOM_LNC000315)". Lineage: Eukaryota; Viridiplantae; Streptophyta; Magnoliopsida; Poales; Bromeliaceae. The record is from RNAcentral.
AAUUAAAAAAAAGUGCUUACGCCAGCAAUGAGUGUAGUAUCAGCAAGUGCCUACAUUGUAGAAAAAUUUUAGAAUGUAAUAUUCAUAUUAUUGAUGUAGCGUACUUAACGAAUCAAAAAGCUCCUCUAUGUUCACUUAUCUUAUCAUAAUUUUCAAAAAAAAUUUUUAUUAUACUUUUUUUUAAAACAAAUUAUUAUUAGUUUGAAAUAACUAAUAUAGUGUAAUUAUUAUAUAGUAGACUUCCUCCUGCAUGGCGCCCAUUCGAGCUGGAGCUCCAACAAAUUAUUGGAGCCCCAGGCUGCAAGAAAAUUUUUUUCUACUGUAAAAGUGGGCAAAGCAAUAAUUUCUUUGCCAAGCGUUACUAUGCAGUUCUUUUUAAAAGUUGCCAAGAAAAAAUCAAAGCAUAAACUUAAAAUACCACCUAUGUGUGGUUUCUCACCUUUUCUAUUUUUCUUUUUUUUAGAAAUAGGUAGCAAGCUAUCUAUUUUAUUUAUUAGGAAAAUAAAUUAGGUUUACAUGAUGGAGACAGCCGAGGCCUCCGGAAAAAUAAAGAGAAACAGGGUAAGUAAAAAAAUAAAAAAUAGUAAACAGGAAAAAAAACGACAAAAUUGACCAGAAAAAAAAGAAAGAGGUACGUCAGCACCAAACAAUCAGAGUCAGAGUUUUGUGGUCCAGGAUGUUAGCAGUAGUCUACCACGUUCUAGUGCACGGGUAGUGUUGGGAGGUUUCGCACGGAAAAGACUGUCAUUCCUUUUAGUCCAAACAACCCACCAAAUAGCACACAGUAGAGUUAGAGUUUCAAGUCUCUUUCGGGCAUCUGGUAGGCUGAUUGCUCUUGUCCAAAGAUCCCUCGCCUCCGUCGAUGGCUCUAUCAAAGAUUUCGGUGCUUCCACACAAAUGAGUAGGAAGCAAACAAACACGCAGGAGCUCAUAAGGUGAUCACAGUUUUCCGUAGUUUUUCAUUUUAGUAUUCUGUGGUUUAAAGUGUGUCAAGUUAGUAUCCUGUAGUUUUAUUUUUAUUUUUUUGUCAGCUUGUCCGUUAAUAUUUCGUUAAAUUAUAUACAAAAACUUAAGAUACUCCACUUAAAUUUAUUGAAUAUUCACUUUAGUUCUCUUUAGUUUUAACUUUGUCACUGAUUUAACAAAAAAAAAGUUAUGGAAUCGAUAAUAAUAAAAUAAUGAUAAAACCACAUAAUACUAAAUUGAUACACUUUAAACUAUAGGGUAUUAAAGUGAGAAAAUGUGAAACCACAAGAAUAAUAUUUGAAGUUUUUUCAAAAUCAAAUGCAUUGCUCACUAACAAAUCUUUGCAACGUUUUUAUAAACCAAGCUCAACGGUCAACUUUCAGAGUCUAUGGAUGUUAUUCAAUUAAACACCAUUCGUGGUGAUGUUCGAGCGACAAACAAACCUAUGCGUCUUACUGUGGGCAAUGUUCAUCGCUUCAGAUCUUGGUUUAAGACCAAUCACUAACUAAAUGGGCCCUUUCAUGUUCAAUCUUCCUAAGCGAUACUUGCACAUUGAGGGCCAUUUGGUUAGAUAUAAUUAUAAAUACAGUAUUAUUGAUGAUGCACGGCGUUAAAGAUGUAGCAAUUACAUUUUUAUAUAUAUAUUUUAUUCGGUUGAAUGCAAUUGAGAAGUGCAUUUAAGCAAUUUUAUUAUUUUCUAUUUAUGGUAAUCAGAUUAUCUCCGCCGUUUGUUUAGAGUUACUCUCUUCAAUUGCUGCUGUAGCUGGAAUAGCAACAAAUUUGCAUGUAGUUUCAAUUGCUAUAGUUGAACCUCCUUAUGCAACUUCAACUAUACCAGGUAGACUCAAAUACAUCAAAUUAAAUAUCGAAUUUGAAAUUACAUGUAGUGCGGCCAAACAACUUCUUAAUCUCUCUCACGCCCAUAUGUUUUUUUGGCGUCGCCUAAUAUUUAUCACGCUAAAAAAUAGUUAGAAGAAGGAAUAUAAAAGUAUACUUUUUUCUCAUAGAAAACUUCAAAUACCACUCUUGUGGUUACGCACUUUCUCACAUUACUAUCCUAUGAUUUAAAAUGUAUCAAUUUAGUACCUUGUGUUUUUUUUUUAUUAUUAUCAAUUUCAUUAAUUCUUUUUGUUAAAUCAGUGACAAAGUUAAAACUAAAAGAUACUAAAGUGGAUAUUCGAUAAAACUAGAUGUGGUAUUUGAAGUUUUUAUAUAUAAUUUAACAAAAUAUUAACAAACAAGAUGACGAAAAGAUAAAAAUGAAACCACAUGGUACUAACUUGAUAUACUUUAAAUCACGGAAUACUAAAAUGAGAAAGUGUAAAAAUUUGAAGUUUUUUUUUUUUUUCAGUAAU